GAUGAACGCUGGCGGCAUGCUUAACACAUGCCAGUCGAACGGGAAGUGGUGUUUCCAGUGGCGAACGGGUGAGUAACGCGUAAGAACCUGCCCUUGGGAGGGGAACAACAACUGGAAACGGUUGCUAAUACCCCGUAGGCUGAGGAGCAAAAGGAGAAAUCCGCCCAAGGAGGGGCUCGCGUCUGAUUAGCUAGUUGGUGAGGUAAUAGCUUACCAAGGCGAUGAUCAGUAGCUGGUCCGAGAGGAUGAUCAGCCACACUGGGACUGAGACACGGCCCAGACUCCUACGGGAGGCAGCAGUGGGGAAUUUUCCGCAAUGGGCGAAAGCCUGACGGAGCAAUGCCGCGUGGAGGUGGAAGGCCUACGGGUCGUCAACUUCUUUUCUCGGAGAAGAAACAAUGACGGUAGCUGAGGAAUAAGCAUCGGCUAACUCUGUG
RNAcentral lists this ribosomal RNA (437 nucleotides) under uncultured bacterium. RNAcentral's name for it is "partial 16S ribosomal RNA". It matches the Rfam family "Bacterial small subunit ribosomal RNA", at positions 28 to 507 of the family's 1533-position model. The record is from RNAcentral.